Molecule: transfer RNA, 68 nt
Filed under: Gymnothorax emmae
Lineage: Eukaryota; Metazoa; Chordata; Actinopteri; Anguilliformes; Muraenidae
Description: tRNA-Ser
Source: RNAcentral
AAGGGAAAGAGUAAUUUUGGGAGAGUGCUAAUUUUUCCAAACCACGGUUAGAGUCCAUGGGUCCCUUG